GACGAACGCUGGCGGCGUGCUUAACACAUGCAAGUCGAACGGAAAGGCCCCUUUGGGGGUCCUCGAGUGGCGAACGGGUGAGUAACACGUGAGUAACCUGCCCUUGACUUCGGGAUAACUUCAGGAAACUGGGGCUAAUACCGGAUAGGAAUCCUUUCUUCAUGGUGGGGGUUGGAAAGCUUCGGCGGUUUUGGAUGGACUCGCGGCUUAUCAGCUUGUUGGUGGGGUAGUGGCUUACCAAGGCGUUGACGGGUAGCCGGCCUGAGAGGGCGACCGGCCACACUGGGACUGAGAUGCGGCCCAGACUGCUACGGGAGGCAGCAGUGGGGAAUAUUGCACAAUGGGCGGAAGCCUGAUGCAGCAACGCCGCGGGCGGGAUGACGGCCUUCGGGUUGUAAACCGCUUUCAGCAGGGGCGAAGCUUGUGGUGACGGUACCUGCAGAAGAAGCACCGGCUAACUACGUG
This 465-nucleotide ribosomal RNA is filed under the name uncultured bacterium. Its description in RNAcentral is "partial 16S ribosomal RNA". It matches the Rfam family "Bacterial small subunit ribosomal RNA", at positions 28 to 507 of the family's 1533-position model. The record is from RNAcentral.